AACGAACGCUGGCGGCAUGCCUAACACAUGCAAGUCGAACGAGACCUUCGGGUCUAUUUGCGCACGGGUGCUUAACGCGUGGGAACCUGCCCUUAGGUUCGGAAUAACUCCCCGAAAGGUGUGCUAAUACCGGAUAAUGUCUUCGGACCAAAGAUGUCUCGCCUUUUGAUGGGCCCGCGUUGGAUUAGCUAGUUGGUAGGGUAAAAGCCUACCAAGGCGACGAUCCAUAGCUGGUCUGAGAGGAUGAUCAGCCACACUGGGACUGCGACACGGCCCAGAAUCCUACGGGAGGCAGCAGUAGGGAAUAUUGGACACGGGGCGAUAGCCUGAUCCAGCAAUGUCGCGUGAGUGAUGAAGGCCUUAGGGUUGUAAAGCUCUUUUACCCGGGACGAUAAUGACAGUAACGGGAGAAUAAGCUCCGGCUAACUCCGUG
Molecule: ribosomal RNA, 433 nt
Filed under: uncultured bacterium
Lineage: Bacteria
Description: partial 16S ribosomal RNA
Rfam family: Bacterial small subunit ribosomal RNA
Source: RNAcentral